UACGUAGGGUGCGAGCGUUAAUCGGAAUUACUGGGCGUAAAGAGCUCGUAGGCGGCUUGUCACGUCGGGUGUGAAAGCCCGGGGCUUAACCCCGGGUCUGCAUUCGAUACGGGCUAGCUAGAGUGUGGUAGGGGAGAUCGGAAUUCCUGGUGUAGCGGUGAAAUGCGCAGAUAUCAGGAGGAACACCGGUGGCGAAGGCGGAUCUCUGGGCCAUUACUGACGCUGAGGAGCGAAAGCGUGGGGAGCAAACAGG
Molecule: ribosomal RNA, 253 nt
Filed under: uncultured bacterium
Lineage: Bacteria
Description: partial 16S ribosomal RNA
Rfam family: Bacterial small subunit ribosomal RNA
Source: RNAcentral